UACGAAGGGGGCUAGCGUUGUUCGGAAUUACUGGGCGUAAAGCGCGCGUAGGCGGUUUUGCAAGCCAGAGGUGAAAUGCCUGAGCUCAACUCCAGAACUGCCCUUGAUACUGGCGGUCUCGAGUCCGGGAGAGGUGAGUGGAACUGCGAGUGUAGAGGUGAAAUUCGUAGAUAUUCGCAAGAACACCAGUGGCGAAGGCGGCUCACUGGCCCGGUACUGACGCUGAGGUGCGAAAGCGUGGGGAGCAAACAGG
This 253-nucleotide ribosomal RNA is filed under the name uncultured bacterium. Its description in RNAcentral is "partial 16S ribosomal RNA". It matches the Rfam family "Bacterial small subunit ribosomal RNA", at positions 524 to 776 of the family's 1533-position model. The record is from RNAcentral.